Molecule: long non-coding RNA, 426 nt
Organism: Syngnathus typhle (broad-nosed pipefish)
Lineage: Eukaryota; Metazoa; Chordata; Actinopteri; Syngnathiformes; Syngnathidae
Exons: 4
Source: RefSeq, a predicted model, not a curated record
GUACGAGUGGGACAAAAUGCAGACAGGUACACGAGCUCUGCGUUAGCCUCUGAACUGUGGAUAAGAGGCUAGAGUCCAGUUGGGAAUGAAUGACAACAUCCUCGUGAAUUACAACUCGAUGAAACGGCCUCAUCCCGUAAUUCCUCUUGAGGUCAUUCCAGUUGAUCACCUUAUCAUCCUCCAUCGAUUCAGAGCAGCCAUGCUCCAAUCUGGACCGCAUGUUCCACUUCUCACCACUGGGUAGCGCUGCUGCACCAGCCAGGCGCCUCCCCUUGGACGAACCCGUCUGAACCCGCUCCCACCCGCUGAAGGACCAGUUGCAAAGCAAGGAAAAAGUUAUCCGUUUUUCAAGUUGAGGGAGAGCUUCCUGUGCUGCCACUCAAAUUCUCCUAACUUUACAGAGUCACGCUGGCGAGAGGACUUGGC